Molecule: ribosomal RNA, 670 nt
Filed under: uncultured Bacteroidales bacterium
Lineage: Bacteria; Pseudomonadati; Bacteroidota; Bacteroidia; Bacteroidales
Description: bacterial SSU rRNA
Rfam family: Bacterial small subunit ribosomal RNA
Source: RNAcentral
AAGGCUGAUGGCGACCGGCGCACGGGUGAGUAACACGUAUCCAACCUGCCGUCUACUCUUGGCCAGCCUUCUGAAAGGAAGAUUAAUCCAGGAUGGGAUCAUGAGUUCACAUGUCCGCAUGAUUAAAGGUAUUUUCCGGUAGACGAUGGGGAUGCGUUCCAUUAGAUAGUAGGCGGGGUAACGGCCCACCUAGUCAACGAUGGAUAGGGGUUCUGAGAGGAAGGUCCCCCACAUUGGAACUGAGACACGGUCCAAACUCCUACGGGAGGCAGCAGUGAGGAAUAUUGGUCAAUGGGCGAUGGCCUGAACCAGCCAAGUAGCGUGAAGGAUGACUGCCCUAUGGGUUGUAAACUUCUUUUAUAAAGGAAUAAAGUCGGGUAUGCAUACCCGUUUGCAUGUACUUUAUGAAUAAGGAUCGGCUAACUCCGUGCCAGCAGCCGCGGUAAUACGGAGGAUCCGAGCGUUAUCCGGAUUUAUUGGGUUUAAAGGGAGCGUAGAUGGAUGUUUAAGUCAGUUGUGAAAGUUUGCGGCUCAACCGUAAAAUUGCAGUUGAUACUGGAUGUCUUGAGUGCAGUUGAGGCAGGCGGAAUUCGUGGUGUAGCGGUGAAAUGCUUAGAUAUCACGAAGAACUCCGAUUGCGAAGGCAGCCUGCUAAGCUGCAACUGACAUU